Molecule: unclassified non-coding RNA, 518 nt
Filed under: uncultured Glomeromycotina
Lineage: Eukaryota; Fungi; Glomeromycota
Description: SSU rRNA
Rfam family: Eukaryotic small subunit ribosomal RNA
Source: RNAcentral
CAGCCGCGUAAUUCCAGCUCCAAUAGCGUAUAUUAAAGUUGUUGCAGUUAAAAAGCUCGUAGUUGAAUUUCGAGAUCAAGUUGUUGGUCGUGCCUCGGUACGUACUGGCAUUAUUGAUUUCUCCCUUCUGAAGAACCUUGAUGUCAUUAAUUUGGUGUCUUGGGGAAUCAGGACCGUUACUUUGAAAAAAUUAGAGUGUUUAAAGCAGGCUCACGCUUGAAUACAUUAGCAUGGAAUAAUGAAAUAGGACGUUUGAUUCUAUUUUGUUGGUUUCUAGGAUCGACGUAAUGAUUAAUAGGGAUAGUUGGGGGCAUUAGUAUUCAAUUGUCAGAGGUGAAAUUCUUGGAUUUAUUGAAGACUAACUACUGCGAAAGCAUUUGCCAAGGAUGUUUUCAUUAAUCAAGAACGAAAGUUAGGGGAUCGAAGACGAUCAGAUACCGUCGUAGUCUUAACCAUAAACUAUGCCGACUAGGGAUCGGAUGAUGUUAAUUUUUUAAUGACUCAUUCGGCGCCUUACG